Molecule: RNA transcript, 2203 nt
Organism: Solanum lycopersicum (tomato)
Lineage: Eukaryota; Viridiplantae; Streptophyta; Magnoliopsida; Solanales; Solanaceae
Gene name: stomatal closure-related actin-binding protein 3
Source: RefSeq, a predicted model, not a curated record
UGUGAGUAAUAAGAGAGAGUAUAGAAAAGGAAAGAGAAAAGGGAAAAACUAAAAUCUGGUAAACACAGAAGGAAGGAAGAAGCUUUUCUUUUUCACUUUGCUUUUACAAAAGCAGACUCUCUCUCUCAAACUUCUUCUUCUCACUUGUUCCCAUCACCCUUCUCUCUCUAUCUCUCAAGAACUUUCAGUUUCAGUGGGGGUCUCUAUUCUUCAAGAACAUAAAAAUAUGUUCUUUUCAUCUGCCUAAUUUCUUCAAUAAUCUAUAAAACUGGUCAAAUGACCAAGGUCAGUCCAGAAUUUGUAGCGGAGCCUCAGAUGCAGAUAGCCCGGUCAGUAUCAAGAGAUGUGAGCUUGUCCAAUAACCAGUUUCCAACAUAUAAGUUAGGACCCAACUUUGAGGUUCUACAGGAUACAAAGGAGGAUAACAAAGGCCCACCUUUAAAGGAGGUAGUCGAGGAAGAAACAAAUCGGCUGACAGAACAACACAACCGCCUUUCUGUUCGUGACCUUGCUAGCAAAUUUGACAAGAAUUUGUCAGCUGCAGCUAAAUUGUCUAAUGAGGCUAAAAUUAGAGAGGCACCUUCCCUCGAGGGACAUGUUCUUUUGAAGAAGCUCAGAGAUUCUUUAGAAUUUCUCAAAGGAAGAUUGACAGGACUUAACAAGGAGGACAUUGAAAAAACUAUUUCAUUGGUGGAAGCUUUGGCAGUAAAGUUGACACAAAAUGAGGGAGAGCUUAUACAAGAGAAGUUUGAAGUGAAAAAGCUUGUGAAUUUUCUCAAGCAGGCCUCAGAAGAUGCUAAAAGAUUGGUCAACCAGGAAAGGUCUUUUGCUUGUGCUGAAAUUGAGAGUGCCAGAUCAGUCGUGCAAAGAAUUGGGGAGGCUCUUGACGAAGAAGAAAGGAAUUCCCCUACCUCUGCAAAACAGGAAGUGGAGGGACUGCUGGAAGAGGUACAAGAAGCUAGAAGAAUAAAACUUUUGCAUCAGCCUAGUAAGGUGAUGGACAUGGAACAUGAACUGAGGGCUUUAAGAAUCCAGAUCAGGGAGAAGUCUACUGUUUCAUUUAAGCUUCAGAAAGAGCUAACAAUGAGCAGAAGAGCUGGGCAAAAUAAAUCCGAAUUUUAUGAGUUGAUUGGUUCUGAAACUUUAGGUUCUAUAAUAAGAAUCCAGUCAUGUUCAAAUGAAGCCAUUGAUGUUUCAAAAUGUUCAAUUCAGUGGUAUCGUUUAUCAUCUGAAUGCAGCAGAAGGGAACCUAUCGUUGGUGCGGACAAAUUUGUGUAUGCUCCGGAGCCUAUUGACGUUGGGAGACUUUUAGAAGCAGAUAUAGUCUCAAAUGGCCAAAAAGUCUCACUGACAACUACUGCUCCUAUCGAUCCAGCAUCUGGAUUGGGGAGUUAUGUCGAGACACUUUUCCGGAAGUCGAACAUUGAAUUCAGCGUGGUUAUUGCACAGAUGAAUGGACGGAACUAUUCAUCACGUUCUGCACACUGCUUUCAUGUCGGGAAAACAAAGCUGAAGUUGGGCAAAGGAUGGAUUACAAAAGCUAGAGAUUCAUACUCUAAGUCUAUGCAGCUAUGUGGAUUUAGAGGAGGCGGAAAUUCUGCGGCAAAGUCAUUGUUUUGGCUACCAAGGAAAGGACAUUCCUUUGUGUUAGUAUUUGAAUCAGAGAAAGAAAGAAACGGAGCCCUUAUGGCUGCUCGGAAAUAUGCCAUGGAUUGCAAUGUGAUAACAACUAGUGUCACUAAAGUAUAGUGAGUUGUUGCUCAGACUCUUGAAAAAUGCUACGACACUCGUGUUGGAUCCUCGUAAAAUGCACUACUUUUGGAGUAUCUGACACACAUCCGUCAACAUUUUGGAGAGUCCGAGCAACACAGAAUGAGUGUAAUUCUUGCUGGACCUGAUGAUGAUGCUUUGCUUUAGACAUACUGAUUUCCAAGUUAUUUUCACCAAUGAGUCACUUGAUUAGUUUUUUUUUUUUAAUUUUUUUUGGUGAUUAUAAUUAGUUUUUUUUUCCUUCUUUCAAAUGUGAGUGCUCAAUUUCUUAUUAUAUUUGUGUGUGAUUUAGUAAUCAAACAUGUCUUGUCAUUGUAAUUUUUUUACUAAUUAGUUACAUCCUUUCUAGGCAAUGUUCUUUUUUUAGUUUUGCCUUGUUAUGGGUUGUAACAAAUUUUACUAAUUGAUGGUCCAUUUGCAUUUUUAAUGAAAA